UNCAAGCAUAUCGCUCCUUUCCAGUUAGCCCA
RNAcentral lists this non-coding RNA (32 nucleotides) under Mus musculus (house mouse). Lineage: Eukaryota; Metazoa; Chordata; Mammalia; Rodentia; Muridae. The record is from RNAcentral.